This 227-nucleotide unclassified non-coding RNA is filed under the name Hevea brasiliensis (rubber tree). The record is from RNAcentral. Lineage: Eukaryota; Viridiplantae; Streptophyta; Magnoliopsida; Malpighiales; Euphorbiaceae.
GCAAAUCCCAUUCUUUCCAGAUUGUAUUUAGCAGAUACGUCAGUUUUUCCAAGAAAGGAUGAUAUUAAACCUCUCUCAGCUCUUGUUACAAGUAAUAUUGGACAAAGUAAAGGACAGUUCUCAAUGGAGAAAAGUCAGAGUCCAUGUGUUGAUGAUUGUGCACAAAAAUUAUCACAAGCAAAUAAAGUUUCUUUCAAGCCUGCUGUUCCUUCAGUUUGUGAUAAAGG